GAGUCGGCCUGCGCGGAAGAUGUAACGGGGCUAAACCAUGCACCGAAGCUGCGGCAGCGACACUAUGUGUUGUUGGGUAGGGGAGCGUUCUGUAAGCCUGUGAAGGUGUGCUGUGAGGCAUGCUGGAGGUAUCAGAAGUGCGAAUGCUGACAUAAGUAACGAUAAAGCGGGUGAAAAGCCCGCUCGCCGGAAGACCAAGGGUUCCUGUCCAACGUUAAUCGGGGCAGGGUGAGUCGACCCCUAAGGCGAGGCCGAAAGGCGUAGUCGAUGGGAAACAGGUUAAUAUUCCUGUACUUGGUGUUACUGCGAAGGGGGGACGGAGAAGGCUAUGUUGGCCGGGCGACGGUUGUCCCGGUUUAAGCGUGUAGGCUGGUUUUCCAGGCAAAUCCGGAAAAUCAAGGCUGAGGCGUGAUGACGAGGCACUACGGUGCUGAAGCAACAAAUGCCCUGCU
Molecule: ribosomal RNA, 452 nt
Filed under: Escherichia coli
Lineage: Bacteria; Pseudomonadati; Pseudomonadota; Gammaproteobacteria; Enterobacterales; Enterobacteriaceae
Description: partial 23S ribosomal RNA
Rfam family: Bacterial large subunit ribosomal RNA
Source: RNAcentral